Molecule: unclassified non-coding RNA, 213 nt
Filed under: Hevea brasiliensis (rubber tree)
Lineage: Eukaryota; Viridiplantae; Streptophyta; Magnoliopsida; Malpighiales; Euphorbiaceae
Source: RNAcentral
CGCUCACCAUCCGGCCGGGCUUUCCCGUCCGCGUCAUCGUCACGCGCGAUCUCGUGCUCGAACCCUACGGAGGCUGAUAUGGUGAAAUUGAAGCUUCGCUCGAUUACCGAUGCAAGGUCUCGUUCGAACUGCCGGCCACGGUUCACCGCGAUCUCGUGGCCUAUGCCCAAAUACUAGCCCGCGAGACAGGAAGAUCCGUGGGCGAUCAGGUGA